AUACGGAGGGUGCGAGCGUUAAUCGGAAUUACUGGGCGUAAAGCGUACGUAGGCGGUUGGUUAAGUUAGAUGUGAAAGCCCCGGGCUUAACCUGGGAACUGCAUUUAAAACUGGCGAACUAGAGUUGAGUAGAGGGGAGUGGAAUUUCAGGUGUAGCGGUGAAAUGCGUAGAGAUCUGAAGGAACACCAGUGGCGAAGGCGACUCCCUGGACUCGAACUGACGCUGAGGUACGAAAGCGUGGGGAGCAAACAGGAUUAGAUACCCUAGUAGUCC
This 274-nucleotide ribosomal RNA is filed under the name uncultured bacterium. RNAcentral's name for it is "partial 16S ribosomal RNA". It matches the Rfam family "Bacterial small subunit ribosomal RNA", at positions 523 to 796 of the family's 1533-position model. The record is from RNAcentral.